AAAGGAGCUCACUAAACCAACCUCCCCAGCAGAACAGAAAGAGAGCAUGGGUCGCUGUCAGAAAUUAUUGUUCAACUAGACCAGCCAGUUCUCACGCUGUUGUCAUGGGCCAGCCUAGGAAGCCAGUUUCUCCACUUACCUUGGAGCUUCAUGCUAUCAGAACCAAAGCAUCUAAAAGCAGAAACCAGCAACUCAAGUUAGAACUGGAUGCAAAAGUGUCAGGUCUCCACGGGAUGAAUGGUUUUCUCCUUGUGUAUACCUGGAGACCAGGAAGCUUCCAGAAGGCUGAAAACAUUUGCGCUCACACAACCACUUUGCCUCUGACCUCUGCUUCAGUCUCCAUGUUUUCUCUCCUCCUAGAAUCUUCUGACUCCUGCGGCUGUUUACCAUAUCCAGGCUAGGCCCCAGCAGCUGCAGCCAUAGAGGAGGACUAAGUAGUGAUAUACUCUCUCAGGUGUCAUUCUAAGAACUGCCAUCACCGUCACGGAGCUGCUGUGACACCCAUCUCUCAUCUUUGUACUUCUUCCAUGGUGUCUGAUGACAUCAGAAUUUUCUUUGAGGAAAAUUGAAAAAGAAUUCAUUGAACUCUCAGCCCCAAACCACAGAUACUCUAUGCUGAUGGAGAAGAAGAGGCGAGAAGAAGGAGAGAGAAGGAGAAGGAUGUGCCCUGGCAACUAUCACCAGGAAACUGAUCUCACCAGAGAAAGGAUUUCUGGACAUACCUGGAUGGCUUCUUCCUGAUGGAGUGGAGAAAGAAAGUUUGGUAGAAUUACUUUCUUUUAUUUUCAAGUCGCAUUCUUGUUGCAAGGUCAAAUAUCCCUCCAGGUUUGUCAAGGACUGUGGGAUUUCUGGGACCCAGGACUUCGCACAGCUGAAGUCAGGAGAGUUUCUGACAAACUGACAUGAGUUAACCACAGGCGCCGUAACUCACUAACACGGAAAUGUCUCCUGAGAGAGGCAAUCAAAGACUGUUGGAUGGAAUGAGAAACCCUGCAGUGGCUUAGACUUCUGUGUAGUGCUCUGCAUUUUACAGAAUGUGGCUGUUCGUACAAAGCGACUCACUUAAUGCUAUUGAUGCUCCAAGCAAGCAAAGGCAUUAGCUACUUUCGUGCUGCUGUGACCCAAAUCUCUGAGAGUAUGCAUUUAGCUCCCAGUUUCAGACACGUUACUCCACUGUUGCAGGGAGGCUGUGACAGAGCAGUUCACAGCAUGGUGGCCAGAGAACACUCAGCAAGAUUCAGCUUCCAUGAACAUACCUCUCUGGUGGCCUGAUUCUUCCAAUAGGCCCCACCUCCCAACUUCACCAUCAUACUGGCAAUCCAUCACGAGGUGAAUCCUUUCGUGAGCGCAGAACCCUUCCUAUCUUGCCACAUCUGACUGUGUUCUCACAGAGACCCCCAAGAUGUGUUUUGUCUGUUGCCUAGGUGCUUCUCAUUUAAUAAAGUUGAUAAUUCUCCAUAGUAGGCCCUCACAAAGUUGAUAAUUCCCCAUAGUAGGCCCUCACAGUUACCAUCUUGUCUCUGGUGCAGGCACUGCUCCGUGUCUGCUAUUCCAUCUCCCUGCUUCCCCAGGCUGAGGUUAGAGAUGUGAUAUAUUCAGCUCCUUCUGCCUUGGCGUCUCCAAGGACAGCAUGCGGAAUAGAGAACACCAACAACUGAAAAGUAUUUUUAAACCAGUGUUGCGUCUGGCAUCUCUGUCCAGUAAACACUUUUGGCUAGUUGAUACCACCUCUCCUACACGGAGGGUGAUUAAGCCAUGGCAUGUGUUAUUUUAUUUUUAUUUUUUAAUAUAACAUGUAAACUCUUUUGGAGUUUGAAUUGAAAUGCUUACAGCAUAGAAAAAUUCCUGUCGUUAAUCUUAGAAAAGUUGCAAGGAUUCUGAUGGAUCCAUACCUUUAGAAAGGAGCCUAUGCAAACAGCAUCUUUUCUAAGCCAUCCAAGCGUCCUUGCUUAAAAUGUGACCGUCACUCCAAUUGAGAAACUGCUUACAUAGAAAAAAAAGCAGGGCUGUGUCAUCUCUAGUCAUCUACCAACCUUUCUAUGGUAGCAACCUAAUAUUAAUAGUAAUACUUGUUUUAAUGAGUUACAAGUUUUAGUAGUGGUCUUCCCCAAAUAGAAAUCAUUAUAUAAAAAAUAAAACUGAGGUAAAUUUAGACAUGACAAAGAAACCAUCAGAAUUCUUCUAUAUAAGCACUUUCGUAUUUAUUUGGUUAUUGAAAAAUAGAGAUUUUAAAGAUUCCUGCUUUUAGAAGAACUAAAAUAAGCAGUAUUUAUAUCUGUGUUUGCAUAUAUCCUAUAUAUGUGUUGUCAGAUCUUUUACUAAAAGUUCAUUUAUCACUAUAAAGGAUAAGAAAAGUC
Mus musculus (house mouse) is the source of this 2357-nucleotide long non-coding RNA. RefSeq annotates it as predicted gene, 38403. Lineage: Eukaryota; Metazoa; Chordata; Mammalia; Rodentia; Muridae. The transcript is spliced from 4 exons. The record is from RefSeq and is marked validated.